AUCGCUUCUUGGCCUUUUGGCUAAGAUCAAGUGUAAAAAAAAGAGAUUUUAGUGUAAAGCCUGGUCACACUGACUUUGUUAGACUAAAUAAAUUUUAUCUUUGUUCAUGUGUUUUCUGUCCACUUAUUUAGCACUUGAAAAAAAAGUUUAGUGGGACGCGUUGGCCUGUUUUUCCUUUUAGAGAAA
Lynx canadensis (Canada lynx) is the source of this 186-nucleotide small nuclear RNA. Its record names the gene U2. It matches the Rfam family "U2 spliceosomal RNA". From Rfam's summary of the family: U2 is a small nuclear RNA (snRNA) component of the spliceosome (involved in pre-mRNA splicing). Complementary binding between U2 snRNA (in an area lying towards the 5' end but 3' to hairpin I) and the branchpoint sequence (BPS) of the intron results the bulging out of an unpaired adenosine, on the BPS, which initiates a nucleophilic attack at the intronic 5' splice site, thus starting the first of two transesterification reactions that mediate splicing. The record is from Ensembl. NCBI's taxonomy places the organism in Eukaryota, Metazoa, Chordata, Mammalia, Carnivora, Felidae.